Hemicordylus capensis (graceful crag lizard) is the source of this 548-nucleotide long non-coding RNA. RefSeq lists it as uncharacterized. The transcript is spliced from 3 exons. The record is from RefSeq and is a predicted model, not a curated record. Lineage: Eukaryota; Metazoa; Chordata; Lepidosauria; Squamata; Cordylidae.
ACAGAUAUACAUACAAUACAUCAGUGGCAAGAACAAAGACAAUGUAUAUACACAUAAAUCCCAACACAUCCGAGUCCCUCUAAUGUACAUCAACAAUGCUGCAUUAGUGUGCAUAAUAUGGAUUUUUCAAUGGUACACCCUGCAGAGCAGGGUAAAAUGGUGCUUUGUUAAACAACUGUUGUACACCUUUAAGGAGCUGAUCCAUGGAUUUGUGCGCAUGUGCCACUGACAGCAUGCACCCUAAAAAAGGGUAAGUGAUUACUCUGGUGUGCCUCGCAAGGCAAAGGAAGUGGAGAAAGAAGGAGAGGGGAAGACACCAAAUGCAGAGCAUUGAGAAAUGCAGAUAUUGUCUACCUUCAUUGAAAUGAAUGUGAACACACAGGCAUAAGAUGUCCAUAUGCACCAUUUAUAUGCAGAACUCUGAACUGAUGUGAUGCCACCGUGUGAAGACAUGAAGCAGCUUUUCCACUAAAUGAAAACUAAUUUCUCCAUUUUGUUUUCUAAUCUUGCUGGCUCAAAAUGUGUAAUAAAACACCCAGCUACACAGA